AACGAACGCUGGCGGCGUGCCUAACACAUGCAAGUCAAACGCAUCUUGGGGCAACUCAAGGUGAGUGGCGAACGGGUGAGUAACACGUAGGUAACCUACCUAUGAGACUGGAACAACCUGUCGAAAGACGGGCUAAUACCGGAUAAGACCACGUUCUCUUCGGAGGAUGAGGUAAAAGAUGGCCUCCACUUGUAAGCUAUCACUGAUAGAUGGGCCUGCGUAGCAUUAGCUAGUUGGUAGGGUAAUGGCCUACCAGGGCUACGAUGCUUAGCUGAUCUGAGAGGAUGAUCAGCCACACUGGAACUGAACCACGGUCCAGACUUCUACGGAAGGCAGCAGUGGGGAAUCUUGCGCAAUGGGGGAAACCCUGACGCAGCAACGCCGCGUGGGUGAAGAAGGCCUUCGGGUCGUAAAGCCCUGUCGAAAGGAACGAAACGUAUUGUGUGAACAAUGCCAGUACUUGACGGUACCUUUAAAGGAAGCACCGGCUAACCACGUGCCAGCCGCCGCCGUAA
Molecule: ribosomal RNA, 515 nt
Filed under: uncultured bacterium
Lineage: Bacteria
Description: partial 16S ribosomal RNA
Rfam family: Bacterial small subunit ribosomal RNA
Source: RNAcentral